GCGUACACGGUGGAUGCCCUGGCAGUCAGAGGCGAUGAAGGACGUGCUAAUCUGCGAAAAGCGCCGGCGAGGUGAUAUGAACCUUUGACCCGGCGAUGUCCGAAUGGGGAAACCCAGUGUGUUUCGAUACACUAUCGUUAACUGAAUACAUAGGUUAACGAGGCGAACCGGGGGAACUGAAACAUCUAAGUACCCCGAGGAAAAGAAAUCAACCGAGAUUCCCCCAGUAGCGGCGAGCGAACGGGGAGCAGCCCG
This 255-nucleotide ribosomal RNA is filed under the name Enterobacter hormaechei. RNAcentral describes it as "partial 23S ribosomal RNA". It matches the Rfam family "Bacterial large subunit ribosomal RNA", at positions 15 to 271 of the family's 2925-position model. Lineage: Bacteria; Pseudomonadati; Pseudomonadota; Gammaproteobacteria; Enterobacterales; Enterobacteriaceae. The record is from RNAcentral.